GUCCACGCCGUAAACGUUGCAUACUCGAUCUUAGCGAUACACAGUUAGGAUCCAAGCGAAAGCGUUAAGUAUGCCACCUGGGAAGUACGAUCGCAAGAUUGAAACUCAAAGGAAUUGACGGGGGCCCCGCACAAGCGGAGGAGCAUGUGGUUUAAUUCGAUGAUACGCGAGGAACCUUACCUGGGCUUGAAUGUGAGUGACCGAUGCCGAAAGGUAUCUUCCCUUCGGGGCACAAAACAAGGUGCUGCAUGGCUGUCGU
Molecule: ribosomal RNA, 259 nt
Filed under: uncultured bacterium
Lineage: Bacteria
Description: partial 16S ribosomal RNA
Rfam family: Bacterial small subunit ribosomal RNA
Source: RNAcentral